AGUGAACGCUGGCGGUAGGCCUAACACAUGCAAGUCGAACGGCAGCACAGGAGAGCUUGCUCUCUGGGUGGCGAGUGGCGGACGGGUGAGGAAUACAUCGGAAUCUACUCUGUCGUGGGGGAUAACGUAGGGAAACUUACGCUAAUACCGCAUACGACCUACGGGUGAAAGCAGGGGACCUUCGGGCCUUGCGCGAUUGAACGAGCCGAUGUCGGAUUAGCUAGUUGGCGGGGUAAAGGCCCACCAAGGCGACGAUCCGUAGCUGGUCUGAGAGAAUGAUCAGCCACACUGGAACUGAGACACGGUCCAGACUCCUACGGGAGGCAGCAGUGGGGAAUAUUGGACAAUGGGCGCAAGCCUGAUCCAGCCAUACCGCGUGGGUGAAGAAGGCCUUCGGGUUGUAAAGCCCUUUUGUUGGAAAAGAAAUCCAGCUGGCUAAUACCCGGUUGGGAUGACGGUACCCAAAGAAUAAGCACCGGCUAACUUCGUGCCAGCCGCCGCCGUAA
Molecule: ribosomal RNA, 506 nt
Filed under: uncultured bacterium
Lineage: Bacteria
Description: partial 16S ribosomal RNA
Rfam family: Bacterial small subunit ribosomal RNA
Source: RNAcentral